Molecule: ribosomal RNA, 785 nt
Filed under: uncultured Bacillota bacterium
Lineage: Bacteria; Bacillati; Bacillota
Description: bacterial SSU rRNA
Rfam family: Bacterial small subunit ribosomal RNA
Source: RNAcentral
GUAAAGCGAGCGCAGGCGGAAAAAUAAGUCUAAUGUGAAAGCCCUCGGCUUAACCGAGGAACUGCAUCGGAAACUGUUUUUCUUGAGUGCAGAAGAGGAGAGUGGAACUCCAUGUGUAGCGGUGGAAUGCGUAGAUAUAUGGAAGAACACCAGUGGCGAAGGCGGCUCUCUGGUCUGCAACUGACGCUGAGGCUCGAAAGCAUGGGUAGCGAACAGGAUUAGAUACCCUGGUAGUCCAUGCCGUAAACGAUGAGUGCUAAGUGUUGGGAGGUUUCCGCCUCUCAGUGCUGCAGCUAACGCAUUAAGCACUCCGCCUGGGGAGUACGACCGCAAGGUUGAAACUCAAAGGAAUUGACGGGGGCCCGCACAAGCGGUGGAGCAUGUGGUUUAAUUCGAUGCAACGCGAAGAACCUUACCAGGUCUUGACAUCUAGUGCAAUCUGUAGAGAUACGGAGUUCCCUUCGGGGACGCUAAGACAGGUGGUGCAUGGCUGUCGUCAGCUCGUGUCGUGAGAUGUUGGGUUAAGUCCCGCAACGAGCGCAACCCUUGUUAUUAGUUGCCAGCAUUAAGUUGGGCACUCUAAUGAGACUGCCGGUGACAAACCGGAGGAAGGUGGGGAUGACGUCAAGUCAUCAUGCCCCUUAUGACCUGGGCUACACACGUGCUACAAUGGGCAGUACAACGAGAAGCAAGCCUGCGAAGGCAAGCGAAUCUCUGAAAGCUGUUCUCAGUUCGGACUGCAGUCUGCAACUCGACUGCACGAAGCUGGAAUCGCUAGUAAUCGC